RNAcentral lists this transfer RNA (77 nucleotides) under Mollicutes bacterium. Its description in RNAcentral is "tRNA-Ala". It matches the Rfam family "tRNA". Rfam says of the family: Transfer RNA (tRNA) molecules are approximately 80 nucleotides in length. Their secondary structure includes four short double-helical elements and three loops (D, anti-codon, and T loops). The record is from RNAcentral. Lineage: Bacteria; Bacillati; Mycoplasmatota; Mollicutes.
GGGGAAUUGGCUCAGUUGGCUAGAGCACCUGCCUUGCAAGCAGGGGGUCAUCGGUUCAAGUCCGAUAUUCUCCACCA